GCGAAGGGUUUAGAAAUCCAUUUUUAUGGUAUGGGUUGCCACUAAAGCAUAGAAACCCAUUCCUAUGAUUGUGACAGAUGGAAUUCAUGUAGUGUUUGAAAGUCCAUGAACCAGGUAGGCUACCUUGAGCUGUUGCAUGUUUGUUCUAUCAGUGCUAACACACCUGAUUCAACUGGUCAACUCAUUCUUCAAACCCUUGAUUAGUUACAUCAGGUGUGCUAGUGCUGGGAUUUAACAAAUAUGUGCAACAGUCUACGGCUUGGGGUCCCUGAGGAGUGGAUUGGUCAAGACUGAUCAAGCACGGUAGGUUUGGGAGACAUGGAUUGGUCAAGACUGAUCUAGCACGGUAGGUUUGGGAUACAUGGAUCGGUCAAGACUGAUCUAGCACAGUAGGUAUGGGAGACAUGGAUUGGUCAAGACUGAGCUAGCACGGUAUGUUUGGGAGACAUGGAUCGGUCAAGACUGAUCUAGCACAUUAGGUAUGGGAGACAUGGAUUGGUCAAGACUGAUCAAGCACGGUAGGUUUGGGAGACAUGGAUCGGUCAAGACUGAUCUAGCACGGUAGGUUUGGGAGACAUGGAUUGGUCAAGACUGAGCUAGCACGGUAGGUUUGGGAGACAUGGAUUGGUCAAGACUGAGCUAGCACGGUAGGUUUGGGAGACAUGGAUUGGUCAAGACUGAGCUAGCACAGUAGGUUUGGGAGACAUGGAUUGGUCAAGACUGAUCUAGCACAGUAGGUUUGGGAGACAUGGAUUGGUCAAGACUGAGCUAGCACGGUAGGUUUGGGAGACAUGGAUUGGUCAAGACUGAUCGAGCACAGUAAGUUUGGGAGACAUGGAUUGGUCAAGACUGAUCUAGCACAUUAGGUUUGGGAGACAUGGAUUGGUCAAGACUGAUCUAGCACAUUAGGUUUGGGAGACAUGGAUUGGUCAAGACUGAUCUAGCACAGUAGGUUUGGGAGACAUGGAUUGGUCAAGACUGAUCUAGCACAGUAGGUUUGGGAGACUCAUUCCCUCGUCUGGUCAUGAAAGGUCUUUAUUAUCAUUAGAUGACAGAUAAACAUGAAUGCAAUUAAAAGUAGACAUGAAAAGGCACUGAUUACAAUGCAUGUAUACAUACAUAUUGGAUCUACCAUAGCAAUAGCAAGUCAACAACAAUGGUUGUGAUCAGACUAAUACACAGGAGAGAGAGAGAACCGGGCCUCAUAUCUAAAAAGCCACUAGCAGACGUUGACUUGAUUGUUGAUUACGGGGACUCCCAGUCCCAGCGAUAUCAUAUUCAUGAGCCAAAUGGUGCAUGUUGUAAUAUGCAUGAGCAAAUUAGAUGUGUGAAGAACAAGAGGGGGCUGCUCCAAAUGCACCGGGAUUCAUAAACACUACUUUGAUUAUUUUUUCUGCCAUAAUAAAUUGAUGCAAAUGUUGUUUUCUUGUAUCAUUGAUCCAGUUACGAUGCUCCCUGCAGCAAUGCAGUCCCUUUCUCAUUUAAGGGGAUUUAUCAGAGAAAAGGAAAUGGAGGGUGUCUUUGUGGGGCCAUAUUAUCUGGGUUUUAUUCAUUAGGGAACAAGUAGCAAAACUUUUUGCAACAGAGAACAAAAACCUGCAUCUCUCAUUGGACUGCUUCUGGUAUUCGCUUCCUGUUUCAUUCCGUUUUCUUCCACUCGGUGCCAAAUGAAUACAACCCUGUUAGCCUGGGCUAGGGAACAGAAGGGUGUCUAAUCAAACAGAGCCGUGUUUAAAGGUCCCCCUUCAGAUGAGGCUGUGUUCAUGACCCAGGAUCAAGGAGACAAGACAGGCCUUUUCUGCAACAUGGAGCCAGUCAGUGCCGGACAGGGGGACGAGCACCUAUGAGGGCCACGAGGGACGUGUGCAGGAGAAAAGAUGACUGUAUCUUAUAAAGAUAACACUUGUGGGCGAUGUCAGAGGAGAGAAUACUUGUACACACAUUUUAUUGUAGGGUUUGUUGCUGUGAUACGUAGGAAUCUGCUUAUGAAAUUCUAAUAAGUUGCAAAUCAGGCAUUGUUGAGUGCUUGUCAAAUAUUACUGUAGCUAAUACUUCAUUCUUGCUAUUCAACAAGCUUUACGCUGCAAUGCCGAAUAAGACACCUAUAACCUCUGUAAAUAGC
RNAcentral lists this long non-coding RNA (2122 nucleotides) under Salmo salar (Atlantic salmon). Its description in RNAcentral is "lncRNA (ENSSSAG00000099283.1)". The record is from RNAcentral. Lineage: Eukaryota; Metazoa; Chordata; Actinopteri; Salmoniformes; Salmonidae.